GACGAACGCUGGCGGCGUGCUUAACACAUGCAAGUCGAACGGACCGCUCUAGCUUGCUGGGGGUUGGUUAGUGGCGAACGGGUGAGUAACACGUGAGUAAUCUGCCCUGGACUUUGGGAUAAGCACUUGAAAGGGUGUCUAAUACUGGUUAUUCUGCAUUGGUCGCAUGGCUGGUGUGGGAAAGGUUUUUUCUGGGUUUGGGGAUGGGCUCGCGGCUUAUCAGCUUGUUGGUGGGGUAA
This 239-nucleotide ribosomal RNA is filed under the name uncultured bacterium. RNAcentral's name for it is "partial 16S ribosomal RNA". It matches the Rfam family "Bacterial small subunit ribosomal RNA", at positions 28 to 260 of the family's 1533-position model. The record is from RNAcentral.